CCUACGGGUGGCAGCAGUGAGGAAUAUUGGUCAAUGGGCGGGAGCCUGAACCAGCCAAGCCGCGUGAGGGAAGAAGGUACAGCGUAUCGUAAACCUCUUUUGUCAGGGAACAAAGGCGGGGACUAGUCCCCGGAUGAGGGUACCUGAAGAAAAAGCAUCGGCUAACUCCGUGCCAGCAGCCGCGGUAAUACGGAGGGGGCUAGCGUUAUCCGGAAUUACUGGGCGUAAAGGGUGCGUAGGUGGUUUCUUAAGUCAGAGGUGAAAGGCUACGGCUCAACCGUAGUAAGCCUUUGAAACUGGGGAACUUGAGUGCAGGAGAGGAGAGUGGAAUUCCUAGUGUAGCGGUGAAAUGCGUAGAUAUUAGGAGGAACACCAGUUGCGAAGGCGGCUCUCUGGACUGUAACUGACACUGAGGCACGAAAGCGUGGGGAGCAAACAGGAUUAGAUACCCCAGUAGUC
This 459-nucleotide ribosomal RNA is filed under the name uncultured bacterium. RNAcentral's name for it is "partial 16S ribosomal RNA". It matches the Rfam family "Bacterial small subunit ribosomal RNA", at positions 338 to 795 of the family's 1533-position model. The record is from RNAcentral.